GUUGGGUGGUAUACCGGUUCAUAGCGAAUACCGGUGUUUUUUUUUUAUAUGAUAUGAAUUUUAGAAAUACCUCCAUACCGGUGAAUGCGUUGCGCAGAGCGGCGGAACGCCGUGCCCGCAGGGCAUUGUUUGAGUGGGGACAGUUUAGCGGUUGCACCAAACAAGCAGCAUGAGAGAGCACAGCCUGGGU
Molecule: long non-coding RNA, 190 nt
Organism: Thalassophryne amazonica
Lineage: Eukaryota; Metazoa; Chordata; Actinopteri; Batrachoidiformes; Batrachoididae
Exons: 3
Source: RefSeq, a predicted model, not a curated record